UCAUUCUGUGUAAAUAAAAAGAGAAAAUCUAAAAGCUUCCGUCUCUUUCUAUCUAACCUCACCAUAAACGCAGAUAAAAUCCUCAACGAUUUUCACUUAAAUCAAGUUUUAACAUGGUAUCAGAGCCAAGAUCUAGAUGGAUCGGGUAAUUGUCUCUCGUCUAAUGUUACCCUCACACAUUUUCAUCGGAGUUUUGAGGUUCCGCCGUUUCUUCGCAUUUCUGAGAUUUUCCGGCGAGAUUUUUCAGUGUUGACGAUGAAAAUUAGUGCUUUUCUACUAGCACUUGAAUGUUUCUGGUAAAUUGAUCGAACCUAUUUGGUAUUUUCUGAGACGUCUUCCUCAACCUAGGAUUUGGUGGUUUCUGCAAUUGCACAUUCAGUUAGGAUUCGCUUGUCCUUGUCACUAUUUUUUUUCAAGGCUGUUAUUCCUUCCGGUCGCGAAGGAAAUUUGGUACCCCUAGUUAUCUCUUCUCAUUGUUUGAUUGUGUGUAUUUCUUCUGAUUAAUUGUGUACAAAAUGCCGAAUGAUGAUGAUUCUACAUAUGCGUUACCAACUGCUCGUUCUACUACUUCUCGUUCUGUUUUUCAUGAAGAUGAUUAUACGCAUCCAUGUCAUCCCUUUUAUGUGCACCUGUCUGAUGUUUUAGGGUCUUCAUUAGUUUCUGUACCUUUUGAUGGUACUGGGUAUGGGAGUUGGAGAUGAACCAUCCUUGUGUCUUUGUCUGUUAGAAAUAAACUGAAUUUCAUUAAUGGAUCUUUAGUUAAGCCUCCUGACAUUUCUCCCUUGGCGAGACAGUGGCAGAGGUGUAAUGAUUUAGUCGUCUCUUGGUUAACCAGCUCCUUGUCCAAAGAUAUUGCUCGUAGUGUUGAGUACUCUGAACUUGCCAAAGAUAUUUGGAGUGAGUUGGAGGAAAGAUAUGGUCAAGCAGAUGCUGCAAGGGUAUUUGAGCUUAAGAAAGAACUAGCUCACAUCUCACAAGGGUCACUUGAUAUUGCUUCAUAUUUCAACAAAAUCAAGCAAUUGUGGGAUGAAAUUGAUGCCUUGUCAAUAAGUAGAGUCAGGUCCUGUAGCAACUGUGGUUUCAAAUCUGAUUACCAGAAAGAUGAUGAUGUUCAAAAGAUGUAUCAAUUUUUGAUGGGUCUCAAUGAUGUAUAUGUGCAAACUAGAAGGAAUAAAUUCAUGAUUAAGCCUUUUCCAUCUGUGAGCAAUGUCUAUAGUAUAUUGUUGUCAGAUGAGAAGUAAAGGUAGGUCUCUACCUCUCCUCAGUUUCUCCUUACAUCUGCCUCUUUCAAUGCUGGGGUGUCUAAACAAGGCUUUCCUUCCAGAGCUAAUUUUGAUGCUCAAAGAUCCCUUACAUGCAAAUAUUGUAAGAAACCAAGUCACACCAUUGACAAGUGCUACAAACUACAUGGGUAUCCUUCAAAUUUUAAGUUCACAAAAAGGGCCUGGCAGUAGGAAACUGCAGCUCAUGUUGAAGUGAACUCUCCUUGUCCUCCUGCUAAUGAGAAUUCUAAUAUGGUUCCUGAUUCUGUCAAGUCAUCUAAGUUUGGUAAUGCUUCAAUGAUUCCUAGUUUGACACAAGAUCAAUUCUCUCAGCUGAUGAUGCUACUACAACAACCCCAUGUGUGUGCUGAUUCCUCCUCUACUCCUACUCUAAUGGCUUCUGCUAACUUUGCUGGUAAGCUGUUAUCAGAAAGUAUUCUGCUCAAGUCAUGCAUGCUUUCACAAGUUGAUAGUUUUAUUUGGAUAAUAGACUCUGGGGCUUCUGAUCACAUGACUUCUCAUAAGGGUUUACUUUUUAAUUUGCAAACACUACCUAUACGUUGUCUAGUUUCUCUACCAAAUGGUUACAAAUUCAAAGUUCAUUUAGUAGGAUCUUUGACUUUGUUUCCAAAUUUUACAAUUCAUCAUGUUCUUUAUGUUCCUUCUUUACAAUACAAUCUUAUUUCAGUUCAUAAGCUGUUAGAACAAUACAAUGGGAUUGUUCUGUUUACCAGAACUCUUUGUGCUAUACAGGCCCCUUCUCUGAAGAUGCCUCUGGUUCUUGGUAAACUGGACCAUAACCUCUACAAAGUUUUUACUUCCUCAUGUUUCUUCUCCCAGUACCACAUCCAGUUACUCUUCUAGUGUUACUCCCCAUGUCGGUGUUUUCCCUGAGAUACAAGAAAAUGCAAAGAAUGUAAAUGUUGCUGACGCUGAUGCACAUGUAAAUACUUAUGCAAUUCUGAAUAAUAUCAAUAAAAUGGAUGUGGUUUGGCAUUAUAGAAUUAGGCAUAUUUCUUUUUCUAGAAUGAAACACAUCUCUAUGCUUGGUUCACAGUUAUCUCCCAAACAGUCCUUUUCUUACCCAAUAUGUCCACUAGCCAGACAAACAAGAUUCCCAUUUCCUGAUAGUAGUAUACAAUCCACAAAGCCUUUUCAGUUGAUCCAAAUUGACACCUGGGGUCCAUAUCACUCUCCUAUAUAUACUGGCUCUAAAUACUUUAUGACCAUUGUUGAUGGUUUUUCAAGAGCCACUUAGACCCACCUAAUGGGAGCCAAAAGUAAUGCUUUUGUCCUCUUAAAAGCCUUCAUUGCCAUGACUGAAACUCAAUUCCAAUUUAAAGUCCAACAUGUAAGGAGCGAUAAUACCUUAGAGCUGGGAUCCAGCAUUCUUGGAUCAAAAUUCUUUUCUGAGAAAGGGAUAUUGCAUCAGACAACAUGUCCUCACACUCCAUAACAAAAUGGAGUUAUGGUAAGGAAACACAGAUAUCUCUUGGAAACUGCUAGAGAUCUUCUUUUUCAAUCUGGUCUUCCUCUUAGAUUUUGGGGAGACUGCAUACUCGCAGCCACCUAUUUGAUAAAUAAGUUCUCUUCUAGUGUAUUAAAGGACAAGAGUCCCUAUGAGAUCUUAUAUAACAAACUCCCCACAUACUCAAAUCUUAGAUCUUUUGGCUGCUUAUGUUACUCUACUGUCCCAAACACUCAUAGGGACAAACUGCAGCCUAGUGCCAUUCCUUGUGUGUUUAUUGAUUAUCCUUUUGGGAAGAAAGACUAUAAGCUAUAUGAUUUACAAAAUAAAGUCUUUUUUGUCUCUAGAGAUGUUAUAUUUCAUGAACAUGUUUUCGCUUUUGUUCAGUCUGGAUCUACUUCCCCUACUAUGUCACAUUUGCCAUUUUCUGCAUGUUUUGAUCACUCUGUUAAGAAGAAUUCUUCAUUGUUCCAUGAUUUCUUUUACCCUGCUCCAUAAGUUGCAUCUGCUGUUUCUCCUCAUCCAUAUAAUCCUGCUUCUUCUGAUUCUGAAAUAUCUCUGAACACCUCUUCUGCUUCCUCUAAUCUCCCUCUUUCUUUCCAUGAAUCUGAAUUCCCCCCGUUAAGGAGAUCAUCUAGGCCUCACAAUCCUCCUUCUUAUCUGCAAAAUUAUGUCUGCACUCUACCUAAUCCUAGCUCCAGGCCUACCAAUUAAACUGUUAUGUCUACUUCUAGUGAGCAUUAUGCAUUUGAGCCUACUACUUAUUCUCAGGCAGCAGCUUUCCCUGAGUGACAGAAUGCUAUGAGGAAAGAGUUUGAGGCAUUGAAGACUAAUGGUACUUGGGACAAAGUUGAGUUACCCAAGGGCAAGAAGCCAAUUGGCUGCAAAUGGGUAUACAAAAUUAAGUACAAAACUGAUGGGAGUAUAGAACGAUAUAAAGCUAGGUUUGUGGUAAGGGGUGAUAUACAAGUUGAAGGCAUAGACUUCCAUGAAACAUUCUCACUUGUAGUUAAAAUAUCUACUGUUAAAACUUUAAUUGUUGUAGCUGUUAAAAGAAAUUGGCCACUAUUCCAACUAGAUGUUAAUAAUACUUUCUUGUAUGGGGACUUAGAUGAAGAAGUUUUUAUGAAGCUUCCACCCGAUCUUUAAUUAUCUACUGUAUCUCCUACUCCUAUUUCCACCCCUUUGGUCUGUAAACUAAAAAAAUCUUUGUAUGGAUUGAGAUAAGCUUCAAGGCAAUGGUAUGCCAAGUUGUCUCAAUAUUUGUCCUCUAGAGGCUAUGAGCACUCCUUCAAUGACUAUUCACUUUUUACUAAGGGUUCUGGUGAUGCCUUGGUACUCUUAAUGGUAUAUGUUGAUGAUAUCAUCAUCACUGGGACAGAUCUUUGUGAGAUUGCCGCUGUGAAAACCUUCCUCCAUGAUCAGUUUAAAAUUAAGGAUUUAGGCCAUCUUAACUAUUUUCUGGGUAUUGAAGUGUUGUAUUCUGAGGGUGGGGUGUUGUUGCAUCAGAAAAAGUUUGUGCAUGAUCUGCUCAAAGAGUUUCACUCCUAUGAUUGUUCUUCAGUGAUAUCCCCCCUUGAGAUGCAUGACAAGCUGCAGGCUGAUCAUGGUGAUCCCCUGCCCAAUCCUGAGACUUAUAGGUGCUUAGUGGGUAAACUCAAUUUCUUAACCCAUACAAAACCUGACAUUUGCUUUGCAGUGCAACAUUUAAAUUAGUUUAUGCAGAGGCCUUGCCGUCCUCAUAUGCAGGCUGCUUUACGUUUGCUCAGUGAUUGGGGAUCUUACCCGGACAGUAGAAAAUCCAUCAGUGGGUUUUGCAUUUUAUUAGGAGGAUGUCUAGUCGGCUAGAAGUCCAAGAAGCAAUCUGUGGUCUCCUUGUCAUCUGCAGAAGCUGAAUACAGGUCUAUGAGUAAGGCCACUGCUGAAAUCACUUGGGUUUGUAGGCUUCUUUCUGAUUUUGGUGUUAUUUUUUCUUCUCCUGUUAGUCUGUUUUGUGAUAACCAGGUUGCCAUCCACAUUGCUAAGAAUCCUGUCUUCCAUGAUCGCACCAAACACAUUGAAUUGGAUUGUUAUUUUGUUCGCACCAAGUUGAAUGACCGUCUGAUUCAGCUGCUUCACACUUCCAGUGCCAAUCAGCUUGCUGAUAUGUUCACUAAACCUUUGGGAGGAGCUGUUCAUCAUCUGCAUAUUCACAAGUUGGGGGUUAUCUCACCCUCCAACUUGUCGGGGGAUGUUGAGAUACAAGAAAAUGCUAUUACUUAGCCACCUGGGCUAUUAGCCACUUGGGCUACCUUUUCUUUCUUUUACCAUUGGGCCCAGAAGCCCACCUUGUAUUUGUUUUAUUCUGUAGUGUAUUAGUGGGCCGGCCUAUUCCUAGAUAGAGAAAGCUACAUUUGUAAGAGACAGAUUAUUCAUUCUGUGUAAAUGAAAAGAGAGAAAACCUAGAAGCUUCCGUACCUCA
Nicotiana tabacum (common tobacco) is the source of this 5191-nucleotide non-coding RNA. The record is from RefSeq and is a predicted model, not a curated record. NCBI's taxonomy places the organism in Eukaryota, Viridiplantae, Streptophyta, Magnoliopsida, Solanales, Solanaceae.